Molecule: ribosomal RNA, 274 nt
Filed under: uncultured bacterium
Lineage: Bacteria
Description: partial 16S ribosomal RNA
Rfam family: Bacterial small subunit ribosomal RNA
Source: RNAcentral
AUACGGAGGGUGCAAGCGUUGUCCGGAUUUAUUGGGUUUAAAGGGUGCGUAGGCGGAUAAUUAAGUCAGUGGUGAAAGACUGCAGCUCAACUGUAGAGGUGCCAUUGAUACUGAUUAUCUUGAGUACAGUUGAGGUAGGCGGAAUUUAUGGUGUAGCGGUGAAAUGCAUAGAUACCAUAAAGAACACCGAUAGCGAAGGCAGCUUACUGGACUGUAACUGACGCUGAGGCACAAAAGCGUGGGGAGCGAACGGGAUUAGAAACCCUAGUAGUCC